AGGCAAGAUGUUGGCAUAGCUGUUUGAUUCAAAUUCUCAGCUGUGCUCACAUAUUGCCAUU
This 61-nucleotide microRNA precursor is filed under the name Patiria miniata (bat star). RNAcentral's name for it is "Pmi-Mir-31-P5b_pre stem-loop". It matches the Rfam family "mir-31 microRNA precursor family", at positions 12 to 71 of the family's 83-position model. Lineage: Eukaryota; Metazoa; Echinodermata; Asteroidea; Valvatida; Asterinidae. The record is from RNAcentral.